UUUACCUGUACAUAGUCACCCUGUGACAUAAACUUUGUUUAGCUUUGAUGGCUUUACGGUCAACACAUCUGUUCCUUAUGAGGAAUAUUAUACACCAUCAUAACGUGUACAGAAAUGAACAACUGCUAGCCAACAUAAAAAAGGCUUUUGGAAAUGAUGUCACAAUGAACGGGCACAGCCAGGCAGUGUUGGUAAAUACCAUAUCCCCGGAGAAGGUCUCAACAGUUCCAGUUGACAUUGAUCUACCAACUGUUUCAUCAGAGCCAGUGCCCAAGACAGCAUCCUAUUGGAUUCUUAAGGCAGAACCAAAGCCAUCGUCCC
This is a non-coding RNA of Paramisgurnus dabryanus, 321 nucleotides long. Lineage: Eukaryota; Metazoa; Chordata; Actinopteri; Cypriniformes; Cobitidae. The record is from RefSeq and is a predicted model, not a curated record.